GACGAACGCUGGCGGCGUGCUUAACACAUGCAAGUCGAACGGAAAGGCCCUGCUUUUGUGGGGUGCUCGAGUGGCGAACGGGUGAGUAACACGUGAGUAACCUGCCCUUGACUUUGGGAUAACUUCAGGAAACUGGGGCUAAUACCGGAUAGGAGCUCCUGCUGCAUGGUGGGGGUUGGAAAGUUUCGGCGGUUGGGGAUGGACUCGCGGCUUAUCAGCUUGUUGGUGGGGUAGUGGCUUACCAAGGCUUUGACGGGUAGCCGGCCUGAGAGGGUGACCGGCCACAUUGGGACUGAGGUACGGCGCAGAAUCCUACGGGAGGCAGCAGGGGGGAAUAUUGCACAAUGGGCGGAAGCCUGAUGCAGCAACGCCGCGUGCGGGAUGACGGCCUUCGGGUUGUAAACCGCUUUCGCCUGUGACGAAGCGUGAGUGACGGUAAUGGGUAAAGAAGCACCGGCUAACUACGUG
RNAcentral lists this ribosomal RNA (468 nucleotides) under uncultured bacterium. RNAcentral describes it as "partial 16S ribosomal RNA". It matches the Rfam family "Bacterial small subunit ribosomal RNA", at positions 28 to 507 of the family's 1533-position model. The record is from RNAcentral.